This is an RNA transcript of Syzygium oleosum, 2274 nucleotides long. It is a transcript of the gene named probable protein phosphatase 2C 76, with no coding region annotated. The transcript is spliced from 12 exons. The record is from RefSeq and is a predicted model, not a curated record. Lineage: Eukaryota; Viridiplantae; Streptophyta; Magnoliopsida; Myrtales; Myrtaceae.
AGAGAGAGGGGGAGGGUUUGCAGAUUCUGUAGAGAGAGAGAGGGAGAGUGGUCGCCUGUUGCUCUUUGGUAUAUGCAGCGUCGGAUUCGGAUCCCUCCGCCCGCCCCCCCGCCGCCGCCGCCGCCCGGGCCGGAUCGCCGCCGCUCCCUCCGAUCGGCCGGAUCUUCAGCCGCUUCGUUCCCGGAGCUGGAGCUCGCCGGCUUCGUCGCGCGAGAUCUGCCGUGAUGUGAGCGUUCGCACCGGCUUCCAUUCGUUAUUCGACUUAAGAGAUUCAGCUCGGCGGUCGUUCGAUGAUUCCGCUCUUUCGAUCCGUUCUUCUUGAUUAAUUGGAUAGAGGCGCGUCCUUUCGGAGACGCGAUCGAGCAGCUCGAGAUCGAGUCGUGCGGUUUGGAUUGUUUACUUUUUGUGUUGGUUUCAUUCGCGAAGUAUCCAUCAGGAAGGCCUGGAUCGGGUGAUUUAGAUGGUAUGCACCAGCUGCAUAAGGAGUGUCAUUGUUCAAGCUGGGCACAUUGGAAUAUCUACCCGUGGAGGGCUUCCGUCAAGCGGUUUCGUGAGAGCUGUACGUUCUGGUUUAGCUUUGGAUCGGCCGUGGAACUGCAAAAUUAGAACGGGCAUCAAGAUGAUGGUUGACACAGGAGCGAUGGAGAAUCAAGAACCAGUUGUUGAUAUGACGGUGGAGAAAGAGGAUGAUGGUGGAAUUGCUAGUGGAGGAUGGAAGAGCGAAGACGGAAAACUGAGCUGUGGAUACUCCAGUUUCCGUGGAAAGAGAGUUACCAUGGAGGACUUUUAUGAUAUUAAAACUUCCAAGAUUGAUGGAGAAACAAUCUGCAUGUUUGGAAUAUUCGAUGGUCAUGGUGGUUCUCGCGCUGCUGAGUAUCUGAAGGAGCAUUUGUUUGACAAUCUUAUGAAGCAUCCACAAUUUAUGACGGACACAAAAUUAGCAAUAAGUGGAACAUAUCAGCAGACUGAUGUGGAGUUUUUGGAAUCUGAACGAGAUACUUUUCGGGACGAUGGUUCCACUGCCUCGACAGCAGUGCUGGUGGGUAGCCAUCUGUUCGUGGCGAAUGUGGGAGACUCUCGGACUGUAAUAUCAAAAGCUGGCAAAGCUAUUCCUCUUUCUGAAGAUCAUAAACCAAAUAGAAGUGAUGAAAGAAAGAGAAUUGAAAAUGCUGGAGGUGUUGUUAUGUGGGCAGGCACCUGGCGGGUAGGAGGUGUUUUAGCUAUGUCUCGUGCUUUUGGGAAUCGGAUGUUGAAGCAAUUUGUUGUUGCAGAACCUGAGAUUCAGGAUCAAGAGAUAGAUGAGGAAUUUGAAUUGCUUGUGCUAGCAAGCGAUGGACUAUGGGAUGUGGUCCCUAAUGAGGAUGCUGUUUCACUCGCCCGUGGAGAAGAAGAGCCAGAAGCAGCAGCCAGGAAAUUGACAGAGGCUGCUUUUACUCGGGGAAGUGCAGACAACAUCACGUGUAUCGUGGUAAAGUUUAAUCACAACCGAAUUGGAUCGACUGUUAUGGAGGAUCAGCGCCAAAACUCUGAUUAGGGAGUCUCAAGUUUGGAUCUAAUCGAACCUUUCCUCCCUGAAACGAGUCUUGCUUGCUGGUGUUUAUGAAUUCGACUUUCUAAGAAGUCCCGAGACAUCAUGGAUGGGUACAAGGUGGUUCGAGUUGCUGGGCGAUCAAUUUGAAUCUGUGUGACCUUAGGGACUAGCAAACCGCCGCCAGUGCAGCCGUAUAUUUAUAUCAACUCAGCCCGCGAUCAGCUCAACCCCGUGUGUCGCCUUCCACCACCGCCUCACUCGAUGGCACAGAGCUUGAUGCCUUUGAUCUCCCUCCCAUGGCUGAAAGCCAUUGAAUUCGCAGCAUUCGAUAUAAUAGGGCUCGUUGAGGGAGACCCAACGGAACUCAUGCUGCAUCAAACUCCCGUUGGAGCAAGGAGCUCGACGCCUUGUUGAGAGCUCCGUCUAGUGACAGUUGGAGUCGUGAGACAGAGAGAAAGGCACCCAUAAGUGGCGGAUACGGAGGCCUGCGACGGAAGUGUUCGUGGUGGUGUUGGCGGCCGUGUUGGCUGAAUUAGGUUCAGAUUUUCCCAAUGAGAGGAGGGAAGAUUGGGGUUUUAACUUUCAAUUCUUGUCCAUUAAAGGCUUAGGUUAAAUUCUUCAAUCAGAAGAAUUCAGUUUAGAUGUAGGUUACUUAUCCAAAGUUUUUGCCGGUUGAACAAGGCAACUACAAAAUUUGUCUAUUUUUCAAUCGAUGAGUUAAUAAUAGUGUACAGGCACUAUUA